Long non-coding RNA from Athalia rosae (coleseed sawfly), 1156 nucleotides. RefSeq lists it as uncharacterized. The record is from RefSeq and is a predicted model, not a curated record. Lineage: Eukaryota; Metazoa; Arthropoda; Insecta; Hymenoptera; Athaliidae. The transcript has 3 exons.
AAAGGGAAAUAAGGUGAAUCCGGUGGAUACGUCGCACCUUCCACUCCUCCGCCCGGACCGCCACCGGGACCGCCGCCCGCGGCACCAAAGGGACUCCCACCGUACGUCUGCGUCGCAGAAAGUAAACACGAGACUAGGUGGGCGUGGACGAUAAGGAGUAGUUCGAAAGCUCUGAAAAUGACGCCGCGGUCAACUAGCACCACCGUCGCCACCACCAAACGAUAACACAAUCCUUUGACGACUCCGGUGUAGCCGACGUCCCGUACGAAACGUGGGUACAGCCGGUCUCAUUCGUUUGCGGUCUGAGGGGCCCGUGUAUUUAAUAUUUACACGCCUCGCGAAACACAUCAGAAGCAACGGUUAAACUUCUAGCCUGUCAUCCGCUGUACGCUGUAAGUACUUAGAUCGAGUCAGUCGUCUCGCCGUUCUGCGAAUCGGUUCCAGAAAUUCUCAAAGGACUUCAAAGACGGGGAGGAAAAAAAGGACGAGAGACAAUCGAAAUUACGUGUGUGUACAAUGAAGGACCGUGUAUCUAUCGCCCCGCGUGUGUGACGUGCGGGUUAAUAUUCCUUGGUUUCUUUCAUCGAGAUGCGGUGGAGAUGGACGGGAAAAAUCAGAGGAAGAGACGGAAGUGGGCAUCGGAAAGAGAGGGAGAGGGAACGUCGAGGGGGAACGGCGUAGGAGACGACGACGAACCCUCGGGACGUCUUUAAACUUGAUCCGGAGCGUCGUGUACGGGAGCCGCAAAGACCGGAUGGGAUCGAGGAGGAAGAUCCGAGGAACUGUAACGACUCGUGUACGCAUACUAUAGGCUGUACGUGAAAAAAGGAACCGACGAAGAAUUUCCCACAAAUUUUCAUCGUACCGUUCGCGCUUGCCCGAAAUACUGCGGGGGACGCGGCGGGUAAAUUUUUUUUUCCAUCCCACGCGAUUACAGCGAAUAAUUUCUUUCGAAUAUACUUCGUCAUCCCCCAAAGAUUCCGAAGCGAAUGAAAUCACGUUUGCGGAGAUUCGUCUCAACGUCGUGUACGGGGAGGUGGGAAACCACGUGUUCGAAUCGGCGAUGUGCGAUACGAGUGCGUCGCGGUUAUGAAAGGUAACUAUAUAACAACGGGAAAAAAAAAAGUAAAUCGAAAACUAUUUUUCCUCCAAAUAA